UACGUAGGGACCAAGCGUUGUCCGGAAUCAUUGGGCGUAAAGAGCGUGUAGGCGGCUUGUUAAGUCUUGCGUGAAAUCUCGGGGCUCAACCCCGAGCGGUCGUGAGAAACUGGCAGGCUAGAGUGCGGGAGAGGAGAGUGGAAUUCCUGGUGUAGCGGUGAAAUGCGCAGAUAUCAGGAGGAACACCGGUGGCGAAGGCGGUGGGCUGGGCCGGAACUGACGCUGAGGAGCGAAAGCGUGGGGAGCGAACAGG
Molecule: ribosomal RNA, 253 nt
Filed under: uncultured bacterium
Lineage: Bacteria
Description: partial 16S ribosomal RNA
Rfam family: Bacterial small subunit ribosomal RNA
Source: RNAcentral